Molecule: microRNA precursor, 59 nt
Filed under: Melibe leonina
Lineage: Eukaryota; Metazoa; Mollusca; Gastropoda; Nudibranchia; Dendronotidae
Description: microRNA mle-mir-1989b precursor
Source: miRBase by way of RNAcentral
UCAGCUGUCAUGAUGCCUUCUUGAUGUGACCAACAAAGAAGGCAUUUUUACGGCUGUCA